This is a non-coding RNA of Picea glauca (white spruce), 845 nucleotides long. Lineage: Eukaryota; Viridiplantae; Streptophyta; Pinopsida; Pinales; Pinaceae. The record is from Rfam.
UUGACGAAGAAAAUAUAUGGUCAGAAUCAGAAAGACGAAAUGGAAGAAAUGGAAUUAGUUUCGUCUGAUUCUAAGAAAUUUCAUUUUUUAGCCUUUUUUAGCCUUGUUAGGCUCCUGGAUCCAAUUCUGGAUCACACCUCUAGAAGGAGGGCGAAGGGUUUGAGUGCGAUCACACCUGUUGGGACCCGAAAUAUGGUGAACUAUGCCUAAGCAGGGUGAAUCCAGAGGAAACUCUGGUGGAGGCCUAUAGCGAUACUAACGUGCAAAUCGUUCGUCUGACUUGGGUAUAGGGGUGAAAGACUAAUCGAACCAUCUAGUAGCUGGUUUCCUCUGAAGUUUCCCUCAGGAUAGAUGGAGCUCACGUGCGAGUUUUAUUGGGUAAAGCAAAUGAUUAGAGGCAUCGGGGGCGUAACACCCUCGACCUAUUCUCAAACUUUAAAUAUGUAAGACGGUGCGACUGCUCCAUUGAGAUGUGCCACGGAAUCGAGAGCUCCAAGUGAAUGCGACCCCAUCUCAGGAAAGAACACCCGCUGAGUUUAAGAAUAUAAUUAAGUGGAGGAAAAGAAACUUACAAGGAUUCCCCUAGUAACGGCGAGCGAACCAGGAAGAGCCCAGCAUGAAAAUCGGGUGGCAGCAUCACCUGAAUUGUAGUCUGUAGAAGUGUCCUUAGCGGUGGACCGGGCCCAAGUCCACUAGAAGGGGGCUCUUGAGAGGGUGACAGCCCCAUCGGGCCGGGACCCUUCUGCACCACGAGGCGUUGUCGGCGAGUCGGGUUGUUUGGGAAUGCAGCCCUAAUUGGGUGGUAAAUUCUGUCCAAGGCUAAAUACGGGCGAGAGACCGAUAGC